Molecule: long non-coding RNA, 345 nt
Filed under: Homo sapiens (human)
Lineage: Eukaryota; Metazoa; Chordata; Mammalia; Primates; Hominidae
Description: non-protein coding lnc-ZFYVE21-4:1
Source: RNAcentral
AUGCUGAAUAAAAACAGGAAGGAGAAAGAAUCACCAAAAGCAGGGAAGAGUGGAAAAAGUUCAAAAGAAGGACAAGACACAGUGGAAUCAGAGCAAAUUUCCAUCAGGACAAACAGCCUUGUUGCUGUCCCCGUCUACAGUAUCUGCUAAAUAAAAGUACCAGCCUCUCAGCCCAUAGUGAAGAAAGACAAACGGCAAAAUUCUUCAAGGUUUAGUGCAAGCAAUAAUAGAGAACUUCAAAAACUACCAUCCUUAAAAGAUUCGUUGUCACCAGCACUUUGUGAAGGUUCCUGGGGUGGCCUGCAGCAGCUUUUCCCGCAGCUCCCUCACACUGCCACCUUAUGA